Molecule: long non-coding RNA, 249 nt
Organism: Xenopus tropicalis (tropical clawed frog)
Lineage: Eukaryota; Metazoa; Chordata; Amphibia; Anura; Pipidae
Exons: 3
Source: RefSeq, a predicted model, not a curated record
UGACAUCAGUGAGUUCCACUUGUGCAGCGACAGUCGGGCUGCCAGGCACUCGGGUCCAGGAUCUGAUACAGAAUUUACUGAGAGAAACAGAACCGCCAGGAAACACAGAACCUACAGGUGCCAAGUGGAACUGCUGAAUGAGGAGCCUGGGGAGGAGGGAGAAAAGCAGAGAAAUUGGGGCCAGAAACUGAUCCAGAAGCAGAACCGACCCAAACACAGAGACUGAGGAGCUGCACCUGAAAGGGAAGA